This 465-nucleotide ribosomal RNA is filed under the name Pseudomonas sp. IGS61. RNAcentral's name for it is "bacterial SSU rRNA". It matches the Rfam family "Bacterial small subunit ribosomal RNA", at positions 21 to 483 of the family's 1533-position model. Lineage: Bacteria; Pseudomonadati; Pseudomonadota; Gammaproteobacteria; Pseudomonadales; Pseudomonadaceae. The record is from RNAcentral.
GGCUCAGAUUGAACGCUGGCGGCAGGCCUAACACAUGCAAGUCGAGCGGUAGAGAGGUGCUUGCACCUCUUGAGAGCGGCGGACGGGUGAGUAAUGCCUAGGAAUCUGCCUGGUAGUGGGGGAUAACGCUCGGAAACGGACGCUAAUACCGCAUACGUCCUACGGGAGAAAGCAGGGGACCUUCGGGCCUUGCGCUAUCAGAUGAGCCUAGGUCGGAUUAGCUAGUUGGUGGGGUAAUGGCUCACCAAGGCGACGAUCCGUAACUGGUCUGAGAGGAUGAUCAGUCACACUGGAACUGAGACACGGUCCAGACUCCUACGGGAGGCAGCAGUGGGGAAUAUUGGACAAUGGGCGAAAGCCUGAUCCAGCCAUGCCGCGUGUGUGAAGAAGGUCUUCGGAUUGUAAAGCACUUUAAGUUGGGAGGAAGGGCAGUUACUUAAUACGUGACUGUCUGACGUACCGACA